UAAUUGCCUUCAAAGAUCAACAAUUCUGUGAAGCCAAUUAAUUCCAAGCAAAAAGCUGUGGCAAUGCAAUGCCGCAGCGCAUGCGUGUAUGGAGGAAACUACGGCAUUGACAUUGCAUGGCUUUGGCUGCUGCCGUAGGGCGAAGGCAAACCUUUUCAUUUGCCCCGAGAGAGAGAGAGAGAGAGAGAGAGAGAGGAGAGCGAGGGAGGAUGAAAAGGAGGCAGAGGAAACAUGUAAUGUCCCACUUGCGAUGUGGAAACAUGGAAGAAAAAGUGCUGCUGGAGAUGUGCUCCCCUCAGCCAAAAUGCGGCUGAUGGUAUCCGAUUUAUCAUCAUGAUCUGUUUCUGGUCAAGGGCGUUUGCGUGCGGGGAUCGAAGAGGGCUCGAGGGAGGGAGCGAAAGAGAGGGCGUCAAAAAGGUUGACAAACAAAUGGUGGAUCCAACCAUGGAACCUUUCAAAAGGCACAAGACAGAGAAGUAAAGCAGAUAUCUCAAGUCUUCCUACCAAGACCUUGGUGUUCAAAAGCUGCAAGUGCUUGCUUGUUUGACAAAACAAAACGGCUAUGUUAAUGGAUUUGCCGGUGCUCCUGGAUCUAUUACCACCGUUCCCCAUGAUCUAAGCAGCACAUGGAUACAAGUUUAAUUAAUAUGCAUAUAUCUCUCUCUCUCAUGUGAGGCCAUAAAAAAACAUUAAGGUUGCUUGCUCAGGAGGAUCAGCAGCAUCAGUGAUCCAUCUGUGUUGAUGGAUCUCAUCAUUCAAUCCACAUCUGUGUUGAUAGAUGAAGAGUCGAUGAUAUGAAAACAAGCUGCUUUAAACUGUCAA
Molecule: non-coding RNA, 822 nt
Organism: Musa acuminata subsp. malaccensis (wild Malaysian banana)
Lineage: Eukaryota; Viridiplantae; Streptophyta; Magnoliopsida; Zingiberales; Musaceae
Source: RefSeq, a predicted model, not a curated record